AAAAGAUAUAUAUAUAUAUCUUUUCCCGUGUGAUGGGUUGAAAAAAUCGAAUUUUUUUUUGCAUAAAUUUUGAUUCCUAAACAUGUUUAGAAUAUGUUGGUAAAAUGAUUUUCCAAUAUUCGAAGUUGUUGGAAAGUUCUAUAACUUUAAAGAAGAGCAGGUGUUCGAAGCACUAAGUUGAGCGGUGGGGUACUGGGCCUAUUGUGACGUGUCAGCUUAUUACCUGAAAGCUUCCAAUACGAAUGUACACUUAUAUAUACAAGGAUAGAAAAAGAUUUAGAAGAUCACAUGUUUUUUCAAACUUAUUUUUAAAUUUUAAGGUUAGUUUAAUCUUGGCUUGGCACUGUAAAGCGUAACAGCUAUGACAAAUAAGUUCGAAAUCAGAGAUCAGUUUAUAAGUUGUUAGUUUUCCCAAUGAGUAGUAAAAAAGGAAGUAAGGGCGGUAAUAUUCAUCCUGGUCGUAAUAAGAAACGAAGGUUUAGUGGAAAUCGUUAUACAGCUUCUGUUAAGAAACUGAAAGACGGUAUGGAUAUAGUGGUGCCCGGCACUUCAAGUUUUGGCUAUUGCAUUCUGGAGUUUACAUCUGUAUUUUCUGCCAUCUCUGCAAGCGUCAUAUGUAAAAAAUGUAAAAGUGAUGUGUCUUUCACUCAAUCAAGUUUACAAAGCUUGGGUUUUAAAAUUAUCCAAUCCUGCAAGUGUGAGAGACAGCAGUUUAUAAAAUCGUGCCCUAUGAUUCAGCAUGCGUGUGAAAUAAAUCGUCGUUUUGUUUUUGUAAUACGUUUAUUAGGAAUUGGUCACAAGGGAGUGAAUCUUUUUUGCAGUCUCAUAGACAUAUGUGGAGGUAUUGGUAAUUAUGUGCUCUUAGAAAAUGUUAGCUGCAUCUGUAGUUUUUGAUUCAGUGUUGACAUUUACUGCCACACAAGAGAAAACUAUGAAUGAAGAAUCCGGAAAGCCAUGGGAUGAAUUGACAGUUUCAGGCUAUGGCACUUGGAAGAAAAGAGGCCUUCAUCUCUUUUUGGCGUCUUUACGUUGGUUGGAAGAUACACCGGAAAAGUUUUAGACGCAAUGGUUAUGAGCAGUUUUUGCAGUGGAUGUAAUUUGUGGAAGGACAAAAAAAAAUGGAAUCAAUAGAGUACGAAACAUGAUAAGUCAAUCAGCCGGAAUCAUGGAGACCUUUUUUUCAAGAUGGGUAUCUUCGGAGUGGUACAACUCAUAUUUUUAUGGAGAUUUAUGCCUACCAAUUUUUUUACACACUACUGAAAUAUUAAUAAAUAUAUCAUAAAAAGUCCAAAAUUCUAUCUUUUUAUUGGCCGUCAAAUAAAAUUCCUAAAAAAUGCUUAAAAAAUCGGCCGUCACACGAACGCUUCUAAAUAUAAAGUUCUAAUAUAAUUUGUAAAAAUAUCUAAAUGUACUGAUCAAAAUAUUGCCCGCUAACGCAAAUAUAAGUUUGACCCUGCUGUAGUAUGCUGUUCAUGACAUGGCACAUUUCUUGUCGAUUUCUAUUAAUUUCUGCAAAUAUAUCUCUAAUUUGUUCUAUCACAACAUCAAGCGUAGCUAUCUCAAUUACAUAAACUUUUUGUUUUAAUUUCUUCCAUAAUAAACAAAAAUCUAGUGGGACGAUGUCAGGUGAUCUAGACGGCCUAGCUAUUGUUCAGAGAAAAAUACGUUGAUUAUUCCAAGAUAGUAAACAACAUAUACAGACCAAUAACAUUAUCCUUGAUCAUAACAUUUAGACAGUUUUAUAAUUUAUGUUAUAACUUUUUAAUAAAGCUUUGAAUGAUCUAUGUUUUUAUAUAACAUAUUUUUCUUAUUUUUGUGCGUAGAAUAAGCUUACAUUUGUACAGAAAAACAUCUGACAUUCUGUAUAUAUACAUAUGUAUAAUUUUUUUGUUUAUAAUCCUAUUAAAAAACUUCAAAGGAAAAAAAUUGCAAUAUUGCAGAAGGGAAAACUAAUGGUUAAGAAAAUUUUUGGAAAUUCAAGGUUAUCGAUGCUUUUUAAAUAAAUCUAUAUAUAUAUAUAUUUGUGAUGAUAUUCUUGCAGAACAUGAACAAAACUAAUAAAAAUGAUCUUUAUGAUCAUAUCAUAUCAAUCAUUUAUUUUCGAUAUACAUAUAUACAUAUAGAAUCUUUCGCCUAACUCGACUACCUAAAAUAUCUUGUUUAUUUUGUACGAUAGAAAAAAUGUCAAAGAAAAAAAAUAUUUUGCGAAGGCGCCGAUAUAAUAGCGAUGGACCGAAUUUUUUCUGAGAUAUCGAAAAUAUUUAAUGAUUUUAAUAUAUGAACAAUUAUAAUAUGAAAUAAAUCACAAAAUAAAUUUUUUAACUAACGAUAAGUCCACUGUCAAUUAUUAAAACAUAUAUAUUAUUUUCAUUAUGUGUAUACGUAUUAAAUUACAAAAAAAUUGUUUAAUCAACAAGUAUACUUCAAAAAUUAAAUUUUAACAUUUUUUUUUUGCGAUUAUUCAUUGUGACAAUGAACAUGCAACGUACUCUACUAAUUACUUCUAUCGAAUGGGAAAAAAUUCACGCAAGAUUAGUUUUAAAAUGUAUCAAAUAAUUUAUUUCUGACUCUACUGGUAUUAGAACACAUUUUGAUUUCAUCAUAAAUUUUUAGUGCAUGUGCAUGUUCAAAUUGUAUAUUUAUAAAUAAAAUACUUACCUUUUUUUUUAUAAAACUGAAUGGUUUAUGUGUAACAAUGAUAUAUUAUUUUUGCAAUAUAUAUUGAAACAAUCUAUGUAAAUUAUGCACUAAAUAUUUUUUUUGGCGUUACCAACUUAGUUCACUGACAUUAGGUAAAACAAAACAAUAAAAAUUAUACAUGAUACUGUACAUGAUUACAGGAACAAUUUUUAAAUAGUACAUUUAAGUGAAAGUAAAAAAUCAUUUACACUACAUUAAGCGUUAUACGCUAUCUCUUAUGAAGAAGAUCUAGAAUAAGCUAUAUGUAUUAUACAAAUUAUAAAUAUAAUUUCCUCGCUUUUGACAGCAAAAUGUUUAGAACUACA
RNAcentral lists this long non-coding RNA (3005 nucleotides) under Polistes canadensis. RNAcentral describes it as "uncharacterized LOC106791668, transcript variant X1". Lineage: Eukaryota; Metazoa; Arthropoda; Insecta; Hymenoptera; Vespidae. The record is from RNAcentral.